RNAcentral lists this ribosomal RNA (253 nucleotides) under uncultured bacterium. RNAcentral describes it as "partial 16S ribosomal RNA". It matches the Rfam family "Bacterial small subunit ribosomal RNA", at positions 524 to 776 of the family's 1533-position model. The record is from RNAcentral.
GACGAGCCACCCAAACGUUAUUCGGAAUUACUGGGCUUAAAGGGUGCGUAGGCGGUGCAGCAAGUCGGGAGUGAAAUACCUCAGCUUAACUGAGGAACUGCUCUCGAUACUGCUGUGCUUGAGUGAGACAGAGGUAAGCGGAACUUAGGGUGGAGCGGUGAAAUGCGUAGAUAUCUGGAGGAACACCGGUGGCGAAGGCGGCAUCCUGGACCAACACUGACGCUGAGGAGCGAAAGCCAGGGGAGCAAACGGG